RNAcentral lists this long non-coding RNA (302 nucleotides) under Capsella grandiflora. RNAcentral describes it as "long non-coding RNA (CGRA_LNC000164)". The record is from RNAcentral. Lineage: Eukaryota; Viridiplantae; Streptophyta; Magnoliopsida; Brassicales; Brassicaceae.
UGAGCUUACUCUCUUGUUCAGCUUCUAAUGAACAUUGUUGUGAAGGUUCAUCGUUUGAGAUUCACAAAACAAACAAGUGAAGGAAACAAUAGAAAACACUUAGAAUAAUAAUAAUAUACAACAGAAGAAGCUAAAAGCUAGAAAAUAUCAAGAACUUGUAAAAUGGUAGUGUUACAUAGUGGACAGUUCCCUCUUUGUACCCAAAGCUCUCUCGAACACAAUCUGCAAAACGUAUGUCCACACGGUAUAAAAGCCGCACCUUUACUCCUUAUCAUACACACACAACAACUCAACUCCACCGU